Molecule: ribosomal RNA, 253 nt
Filed under: uncultured bacterium
Lineage: Bacteria
Description: partial 16S ribosomal RNA
Rfam family: Bacterial small subunit ribosomal RNA
Source: RNAcentral
UACGAAGGGGGCUAGCGUUGCUCGGAAUCACUGGGCGUAAAGGGUGCGUAGGCGGGUCUUUAAGUCAGGGGUGAAAUCCUGGAGCUCAACUCCAGAACUGCCUUUGAUACUGAGAGUCUCGAGUCCGAGAGAGGUGAGUGGAACUGCGAGUGUAGAGGUGAAAUUCGUAGAUAUUCGCAAGAACACCAGUGGCGAAGGCGGCUCACUGGCUCGGUACUGACGCUGAGACGCGAAAGCGUGGGGAGCAAACAGG